AGAUGCUGGCAGUGCAGGGGCUGCAGGAAGCACUACUCUUGAAGGCUACGUCAUUGCAAUCAUUGUUCUCUCCUGUAUUGUGCUCCUGGCCCUUCCUAUACUAAUUAUCAUGGCUUUAAGGCUUGGAUUUUGCAGCCGAUUAAUAGAUGCUUGCAGUACGGGGGCAGCUGGUAACUUGCCCGAGACUGGAUUGAGGGUCUCGAGCGUUCGAGUCAACAUACCAAGUUUAAGGUUUGGUUCCUAUAACCUUCCCCGAUGAUGUCUCAAUCGGAAAAACAAAGGCACACGAAAUGAAGCAAACCGUACAAAUGUUUACAAUAUAUCCGAGGGGAACGUGCAAUGGAAGAUUUUUUCCUUCACUUUUUGGAGGCGUUCCACUGAAACAUUGAUAAAGACGUCAUUGAGAUGAGAUUGGUCUCGUUGACCUCUGAAGCAGUGAAUGGUAGCUUGAGAUGUCAGUGUCAUUAGUACGACAAAUACAAAAAAA
Molecule: long non-coding RNA, 487 nt
Organism: Spea bombifrons (plains spadefoot toad)
Lineage: Eukaryota; Metazoa; Chordata; Amphibia; Anura; Pelobatidae
Exons: 3
Source: RefSeq, a predicted model, not a curated record